This 502-nucleotide ribosomal RNA is filed under the name Dialister invisus. Its description in RNAcentral is "bacterial SSU rRNA". It matches the Rfam family "Bacterial small subunit ribosomal RNA", at positions 28 to 496 of the family's 1533-position model. The record is from RNAcentral. Lineage: Bacteria; Bacillati; Bacillota; Negativicutes; Veillonellales; Veillonellaceae.
GACGAACGCUGGCGGCGUGCUUAACACAUGCAAGUCGAACGAAAAGACGGAAAGAGCUUGCUCUUUUCAGAAUUGAGUGGCAAACGGGUGAGUAACACGUAAACAACCUGCCUUCAGGACGGGGACAACAGACGGAAACGACUGCUAAUACCGAAUAAGUUCCAAGGGCCGCAUGGCCCAUGGAAGAAAAGGUGGCCUCUACCUGUAAGCUAUCGCCUGAAGAGGGGUUUGCGUCUGAUUAGCUGGUUGGAGGGGUAACGGCCCACCAAGGCGACGAUCAGUAGCCGGUCUGAGAGGAUGAACGGCCACACUGGAACUGAGACACGGUCCAGACUCCUACGGGAGGCAGCAGUGGGGAAUCUUCCGCAAUGGGCGAAAGCCUGACGGAGCAACGCCGCGUGAGUGAUGACGGCCUUCGGGUUGUAAAACUCUGUGAUCCGGGACGAAAAGGCAGAGUGCGAAGAACAAACUGCAUUGACGGUACCGGAAAAGCAAGCCACGC